Small nucleolar RNA from Aphidius gifuensis, 86 nucleotides. RefSeq annotates it as small nucleolar RNA snR60/Z15/Z230/Z193/J17. The record is from RefSeq and is a predicted model, not a curated record. Lineage: Eukaryota; Metazoa; Arthropoda; Insecta; Hymenoptera; Braconidae. The transcript has a single exon.
GUAUUUUACAUGAUGAUUUCAUAGUUCAACUGACAAAUGUUGAUGACACACUUAGCAAUGUCUUUCGCUCCUAGCUGAUUAGCCUU